GGGGGUGUAGCUCAGUGGGAGAGCACCUGUUUCACAUGCAGAAGGUCCCAGGUUCGAGCCCCGGCAACUCCA
Molecule: non-coding RNA, 72 nt
Organism: Elgaria multicarinata webbii
Lineage: Eukaryota; Metazoa; Chordata; Lepidosauria; Squamata; Anguidae
Source: the annotation of a RefSeq genome assembly